This 150-nucleotide small RNA is filed under the name Pseudomonas sp. NFR02. Its description in RNAcentral is "PrrF RNA". It matches the Rfam family "PrrF RNA". Rfam says of the family: PrrF RNA is a small RNA involved in iron homeostasis and is found exclusively in Pseudomonas species. Their expression is induced under iron limitation by the ferric uptake regulator (Fur) and they act to negatively regulate several genes including sodB and sdh. Lineage: Bacteria; Pseudomonadati; Pseudomonadota; Gammaproteobacteria; Pseudomonadales; Pseudomonadaceae. RNAcentral also lists the same sequence under 1 other name. The record is from RNAcentral.
UUGACUUGCAAAUGAUAAUGAUUAUUAUUGGGCUCAGCUGAUCGCAAGAUCAGUCGAUAGACCAAGAGACCUUAGGUCGGACUCUUGGAAUAUCUCCUCAUCAGGCUAAUCACGGUUUUUGACCCGGCUCUUUGGCCGGGUCUUUUUUUU